Molecule: ribosomal RNA, 301 nt
Filed under: uncultured bacterium
Lineage: Bacteria
Description: partial 16S ribosomal RNA
Rfam family: Bacterial small subunit ribosomal RNA
Source: RNAcentral
CAGUCGCCGCGGUAACACGUAGGGUGCGAGCGUUAAUCGGAAUUACUGGGCGUAAAGCAUGCGUAGGCGGUUCGUUAAGUCUGUUGUGAAAGCCCCGGGCUCAACCUGGGAAUGGCAAUGGAUACUGGCGAGCUAGAGUGUGUCAGAGGAUGGUGGAAUUCCCGGUGUAGCGGUGAAAUGCGUAGAGAUCGGGGGGAACAUCAGUGGCGAAGGCGGCCAUCCGGGACAACACUGACGCUGAGGCACGAAAGCGUGGGGAGCAAUCAGGAUUAGAUACCCCGGUAGUCCCUGUCUCUUAUAC